CAGCCACAUGCAAGGCAAACACCCUAGCACUCCCCUUGACAAGGAUGGAAGAGGCUUCGGCCUGCAACACGCAUACAGUUAAGGCACUGCCACCUACUUUGUGGCAUCUAACCAAAUAAAAUGUUUUU
This is a small nuclear RNA of Suncus etruscus (white-toothed pygmy shrew), 128 nucleotides long. NCBI's taxonomy places the organism in Eukaryota, Metazoa, Chordata, Mammalia, Eulipotyphla, Soricidae. The record is from RefSeq and is a predicted model, not a curated record.